UACGUAGGGGGCAAGCGUUGUCCGGAAUCAUUGGGCGUAGAGCGCGUAGGCGGCCCUGUAAGUCCGCUGUGAAAGUCAAGGGCUCAACCCUUGGAUGCCGGUGGAUACUGCAGGGCUAGAGUCCGGAAGAGGCGAGUGGAAUUCCUGGUGUAGCGGUGAAAUGCGCAGAUAUCAGGAGGAACACCGAUGGCGAAGGCAGCUCGCUGGGACGGUACUGACGCUGAGGCGCGAAAGCGUGGGGAGCAAACAGG
This 251-nucleotide ribosomal RNA is filed under the name uncultured bacterium. RNAcentral describes it as "partial 16S ribosomal RNA". It matches the Rfam family "Bacterial small subunit ribosomal RNA", at positions 524 to 776 of the family's 1533-position model. The record is from RNAcentral.